GAAAGUAAAAAAGGGCGCAUGGCGGAUGCCUUGGCUCUCGGAGGCGAUGAAGGACGUGAUAAGCUGCGAUAAGCUUUGGGGAGGUGCAAAUGACCUUUGAUCCAGAGAUUUCCGAAUGGGACAACCCAAUAUCUUGAAGAGGUAUUAUCUUACUAUGUAAGAGGCUAACGCAGGGAACUGAAACAUCUUAGUACCUGCAGGAAAAGAAAAUAAACAAUGAUUCCCCCAGUAGUGGCGAGCGAACGGGGAACAGCCCAAACCAUCCAUGUUACGGCAUGGGUGGGGUUGUAGGACUACGCCGUUGCAUGAAGACAUCAGAGAAGAACUUUCUGGAAAGAAAGACCAUAGAGCAUGACAGUUGCGUAUUCGAAUGUUGUCGAAGCAUAGUAGUAUCCUGAGUAGCGCGGAGCACGAGGAAUUCUGCGUGAAUCUGCCGGGACCAUCCGGUAAGGCUAAAUACUCCCGAGAGACCGAUAGCGAACCAGUACCGUGAGGGAAAGGUGAAAAGCACUUCGAACAGAAGAGUGAAAUAGUUCCUGAAACCGUGCGCCUACAAGCGGUCGGAGCUCGUUAAUGAGUGACGGCGUGCCUUUUGCAUAAUGAACCUACGAGUUGCCUUUGCCGGCAAGGUUAAGUGUGACGACACACGUAUCCGAAGCGAAAGCGAGUCUGAACAGGGCGUAUAGUCGGCAGUGGCAGACGCGAAACCAAGUGAUCUACCCUUGGCCAGGUUGAAGGCUGGGUAACACCAGCUGGAGGACCGCACCAAUAAGCGUUGAAAAGCUUCUGGAUGAGCUGAGGGUAGGGGUGAAAGGCUAAUCAAACUUGGAGAUAGCUCGUACUCCCCGAAAUGCAUUUAGGUGCAGCCUUGCGGGUUACUGAUGUGAGGUAGAGCGACUGAUAAGAUGCGAGGGCUUCACCGCCUAUCAAGUCUUGACAAACUCCGAAUGCGCAUCAGUUCUACCGCAGGAGUGAGGGCAUGGGUGCUAAGGUCCGUGCCCGAGAGGAGAAGAAUCCGGACCACCUGCUAAGGUCCCGAAAUGACAGCUAAGUUAAACUAACGAAGUCUGACUGCUAAGACAGCUAGGAUGUUGGCUUGGAAGCAGCCAUUCAUUUAAAGAGUGCGUAACAGCUCACUAGUCGAGGAGUCGGGCGUGGAUAAUAAUCGGGUAUUAAGUUGUCUACCGAAGCAGUGGGAUCAUUUAUAUGAUCGGUAGGGGAGCAUUCCAGUCAGCGUCGAAGGCGUACCGUGAGGUAUUCUGGAGCGUCUGGAAAAGCAAAUGUAGGUAUAAGUAACGAUAAAGGGGGCGGGAAACCCCCUCGCCGAAAGACUAAGGUUUCCUGAUCAACGCUAAUCGGAUCAGGGUCAGUCGGGUCCUAAGGCUCAGCCGAACGGCGAUGCCGAUGGCAGAAACGGUUAAUAUUCCGUUACUACCUUCAGGAGUGACGUGGAGACGCAGUAGUGACAGUGCCGCCAUCUGACGGAAUAGAUGGUUGAAGGGUGUAGGAGUCGAUCAUGGCAGGCAAAUCCACCAUGAGAUCCGAACCUGACAGUAUGCCGCGUCCUUCGGGACAAGGCAAUAGUGCGCGUAAGCAUGCUGCCGAGAAAAUCCGCUAAACUUAAUCCUGCAGGUACCCGUACCGCAAACGGACACACGUAGUCGGGAUGAAUAUUCUAAGGCGCUUGAGUGAUUCACGGUUAAGGAACUAGGCAAACUGACCCUGUAACUUCGGGAUAAAGGGUCCCUACCCUUUUAUGGGAGGGCGCAGAGAAUCGGUCCAGGCAACUGUUUAACAAAAACACAGGGCUGUGCCAAAUCGAAAGAUCCAGUAUACAGCCUGACACCUGCCCGGUGCUGGAAGGUUAAGAGGAGAUGUCAUCGAUAAGAGAAGCGUUGAAUUGAAGCCCCAGUAAACGGCGGCCGUAACUAUAACGGUCCUAAGGUAGCGAAAUUCCUUGUCGGGUAAGUUCCGACCUGCACGAAUGGUGUAAUGAUCUGGACGCUGUCUCAACCGUGAGCU
RNAcentral lists this ribosomal RNA (2022 nucleotides) under human gut metagenome. RNAcentral describes it as "bacterial LSU rRNA". It matches the Rfam family "Bacterial large subunit ribosomal RNA", at positions 1 to 2033 of the family's 2925-position model. The record is from RNAcentral.